GCUGUUUAAGGCGGCUGCCCCCUGUGGAGACACAAGAGGGGAAGCAGGAAAGCUUCGGGUCCGAGAAGAGGGAAGCCAGUUUGAAGCCACAGCUGGAGAAUGGGCAGAUGUGAGGAGGACCGGAAGCCCGGUUCUGCCUGGUCCUGCCCCGCCCCUUUCCACCUGGAGCCGCCACUGCCUCAGUCUUCUUCCCGGAAGAACAGCAGCACACACAGGAGGCUGGGAAAGUUGGGGGACCGGUUUACAAGUCUAAGGGCAGGAGUUCACAGUCUUUGUGCUCCACGCAGACACUCACUCGGGCAAUACUUGGCCGAUGAGAUCAAUCCACCUACACCUUUAAGUUGUUCUCGCUCACACAGGGCCCAGAAGGUCUAAGCCUUGGACCGGGACCAGGGUUCUGCCACAAACAUCUGCCAGGGCCAACAGCCCUUGGGGAGCAGAUACAUAAUGUAAACUGCGUUUGGAUGGAGGAGUCGGAGAAGGCGGAGUGAGGGAUCUGGAUAGCACAGGGACUGCGCAGGAAUUUGGCUUCGGCCUGCACUGAGCCUUCGUAGACAAUCACCUUAAUGCACAACCGUACAAGCCCAAAACUUGAGUGGUCCGUUGGCAGGAGAGAGGCACCCAUAUGCCUGUAGAGUUGCCUACAAGGGCCCCAGGAGACUGAGAGGGAAAGGCCUGCUGCCCGGCUGGUACUCAUCACCGGUAUCCAAUUCACCGUCCAAGAGGCUGCAGAAGGAUUCUUCUCUGGGUUUCAAUCUUCACGGCAAUGAACCAUUUUAUCUCAGAACGCGGGGGUGGGGGUGGAUGAAUUCCCUUUCCGUAAUGCAGAUGGACUAAAUCCCCUUUGCUUGCUCUCUUGAAAAAGAAAAUUCAAAAGCUGUUGCCAUUUGCGCUCUUGGACGGUGCCUGAUAAGGCUGAGCUGCUUGGCUCGGUGCAGAGUCUCGGCCUGGCUUUGAGUUUGAUGGGGGCUUAGAGGCCUGGAGCAGGCCAGUGAACAGCCUGACUCAGGCGGGGAAGGGUCUGAGAAGGACCCUGGAACUUCCUGGUAUCCUCAGGAAGACGUACAGAAAAGCCUGUCCUGGACUCGCCCUGACUCGCUGUCCUAAGCCACCCACGCCCACUCGGACGGAGCCUGGGUCAGUCCAUUGCUGGUGCUCACAGCCCAUCACAGCCCGGACUGAGCACGGACUGAGCCGGGCAUUACCUGCAUUCUCUCACUGGAGAGCCAUUUUACAGGUUGGAGACAGGAGACCCAAGUGUUUAAUCUUUUAGACAGCACAGCUAAGGCUCAACCGGAAAAGGCUCGAGCUGCCAAGCCGGAUGACCCAAGUUCAGUCCCCGGAAUACACAACUCCCCCAGGUUGCCCUCGGAUCCCCGCACUGUGCCCCUCCCCCAACUGUACUUCCUACACAUAAACAUAGAUCACAUGGGAUUUGAACUCCUGCUUCUGUUGAGCCUGUGUUCUUCACUCUAAGUGAGGCCCUUCCUGAUUUGGGUUCCAGCUAACCCCAAGCAGGCUUCUUUGCCCUCCUGCCACACCCCUCACCCUUUCCUCCAAGCUCUGACACUCAACACUGAGCAGUGUGCCAAAUGAGACUUUCCAAUGCUAAGCUCCCUUGGCCUUCUGUUUGCCUUAGUGGUUCUUAAGUGUGUCCCCAGAUCGACAGCAUCACAUCCCACCUCAGACAGACCUGCUGAAUCAGAAACUCUGGGCACAGGGCCCGGCACUCGGCUUUAACAAGGGUUCCUCUGGUUGUGAUACAUGACAAGCUUGAGAAGUACUGGCUGCCUCUUGCUUCUUUAGACCAAACAAACCGUGAUGACAACUGAGGGCAACCUUGGCUCUUGCCGUGGUCUUUGUCACCUGAGCCAGCUCAUCAGUUCAGGGGAAGCUGACAGAAGAGGCCAUUGUCACGUGAACAUUAUCGACACUCCAACAGUUCCAGUGGCUUAGUCAGAAAAAAAAAAUCUAGAGAUGGCCCAGGGGUUAACAGCACUUGCUGCUCUUGAGGACGACCCUGGUUCACUUCCCAGCACCUGUAUCGGGUAGGUCAUUAUGCAGCCUUAACUCCAGUUCCAGGGAUCCUGACACAUUCUUCUAGCUUCCGCAGGCUCUGGCGGCGCACACAUAUAUGCCUGCACUCUCAUGUACACAUAAAAAUAAGGAUUGAUAUUUUUUCAAUCCCCUGGUUUGGAGGGAAAAAUCACCUGGGACCAUGUCAGUUCUUGAAAUGUCUUAACAGCCUGCAACCCACAGCCCAACCCAGGAAAUAAGUUCCUAAACACAUUUGUCCUGACAGUGAAUUCUGACCUUACUAACGAGCCCUCUAACUCUAAUUAUGGAAUUGUCUACCUUUCUCUUUAACUCUGUCCAUUUUUGCUCCAUGUAUUUGAAACACUUUAUUCGUUGCAUACAUGAGUAUGAUUGUUUUCCUCUGCCAUUAUUUUCAACUUGUGUCUUUAGAUUUGAAUUACAUCUCCUGUAGACUGCAAAUAAUUAAGUCUUUUUAAAAAAUCUCAUCUGACAAUCUCUGCCUUUUAAUUGGAAUGUUUAGUCCAUUAACAUUUAAUGUAAUUAUUGAUAUGGUUGAAUUUAGUUUUAUUUUGCCCCUCUGUUUUUUAUUUCUCUAUCCUUCCUUCCCUGCCUUCUUUUGGAAUUUUAAAAUUCCAUUUAAAUUUAUCUAUUGGGUUUGUAGCUAUACCUCUCUGCAUUAAUUCUUUAAUGAUUGCCCCAGGGAUUACAAUGCAUCCUUAACUUUUCACAGUCCACUUAGAGUUACUAUUUCAAGUAAAACAUAGAAACUUUGUAACCACAGAUGUCCAUUACUCCCUGCCCCCUUCCUUCAUGCUGUGAAUAUCAUAUGUAUUACAUCUACAUAAAUUAUAAAACCCACAUACAAUGUUAUAAUUUUGUCUUAAAUAGCCAUGUGAAUUUCAGAACAAUUAAGGAGGCUUAUUGCCAAAGGGAACCUCAAAAUUAAGGGAAUUUUCAGGAAUCUGAUUCUCAUCAUGGUUAGAAAAAGGAGCCUGGAUCUUUCAAUGAUUGUUUGUCUCUUCCAGGUGAGGCUGAUUUUAGGACCACAGGAAGGAAGCACAGCUGAUUCAUCUCUAACCCUGUCUUUGUUUCCCAGUUUACUGGAACUCCAUUAUCAGACCCAAAGUUGUCUCCAGCGUACCCACAGGCGCUAUGGCAUAGACCUGAUGAUCCCUGGCUUUUCUUUUGUCCAGGUUUCUUCUGCUUCUCUCACAUGAAACCCUUGGUCUCACGUUUUUUUGACUGCUGUUUUCUUUUUCUGACCCUGUGCAUGCAGGUCAGAGUUUGUCCCCAAGCAUAAUAGAUAUACUGGUCAGCUUUGCUAAAUGAGUCCAGGAAUCCCAGACGGGCUGACGGUUCCCUCAGAGAACAGUGGAGCACAAGGAGGAAGACGCUGGGAAGGGGAAGAAAGCGCCUUCCAGUAGUAGUGGUAGGAAAUGGGUCCCCGGGCAGGGUGUUGUGUAAUAGUCUCCCGCAAGAUUGAAACAUUCCAUUCUGCAGAGAAGCUCCUCAAACAGGAAGAUGAACAAUUCGAAAUAGCUGCAGGAACUCUCUGAAACUGACCAGAUUCACCAGGCCCCUCCCUGCCAGAGUGAGCAAUAAAAGCUGAGAGUCCCCCCUCAAGACCAGAGAGCCCAACUACAAAGACAACUGAGGCCAGACCAGCUGCCUGGAAGAAGCAGAAACCAGCUGAGAUGCCGGAAGAUGUUUAGAUCAACUGAGUCACUUGGAAAGGACACUCUCCAACCUGUUAGGAUGCCUUUAGGCUGUGCAGUGUGCUCCAGGUUCCCAGCUUCGUGAGCUGUCACCAUGCUGGGGUAGCUUUGGGGACACUGCUGUCUGUGAGUCAUUUCUGGUCCUGUUAGGAACCCCUCACCCACAUUCCCGUAAGUGACCCCAGUAAAACUCAUUGGUUCACCAGGCUGGACUUUGGUCUGUCGUGAGAUUUCUCUCUGGAGUGAGUAGACGUGUGUGUUGCAUCUCCCCAGGAAAAGUCUUGCCACAGAACACAGGGCUCUAGCCAAACCAUCACUGGGGGACCCCAGAAAGCUGGAGUCAACUCUGAUGGAAUGAAAAUGUGAUGCUUGAGAUUGUAAUGGCUGCGAAGGGAGGGCCGGGCCAGGGUAUGUGGGCAUGUGGGUGAGACCCGGAUUUUCAGCUCGUGUGUACCUGGAGGAAGUGAGCCCUGGGCCACCCAGAGCUGCUGACGCUGCAGCCUGGAGGCCCGAAGCUUUGUGGAGAAGCCAUUAGUCGGGUGACAGGGGAAAGAAUGAAAAGCUGCCUGGUUCAGGGUCGGCAAGGGCUGCCGGCCCCACUGUAAGGGAGGCAAAAAUACAUCUGGGUUUUUCUGGGGCACACCCGGGGCUGACCAGAAAAGGACCUUCAUCCCAGAAUACGCCUGUGAGUGGAGUUUCCCCUAAGUGUCAGAGGAAGAAGGGCGGCGUCCAGGGGUCAGGACAGGGAGAGGCCGGCAGGACUGGAAGGAGGCGAAACUGGAGGAUCCCCUGAGUCAUGCCUUCCCUCACCUGUGCCCAGCCAAGUGAAUACCAUGAGACCUGCAAUACCUAACUUCAUAUGAAAUGUGAUCAUCAAUACUGGGGCAGAGUUUUGCAUGAGGUUUGUAGAAAACUUUGUAGGCGGGAGCUGGAAUAGGAACAAGCCACGGCAUGUUUCAGCCCAUGGGAGCAAGUUAGCCGCUGCGCCGGGUACCGCCGGCUACAGGGAAGGCUUCGCCUGUCCAAGCAGUGGGAAUUAAGCAGAUCUCCCAGGGAGACUGGACCUGUUAUAAUAACCUGAAGUGUUUGGGCCCACGCCAGGAAGGGAUGAGAAGGUACCGCGGCUAACAAAAUCUGCUGUACACACAUCCCCAAGACAGGCUGGCCACUAGUGACAUUAGGUGACCUAAGGUGGCCACUACAUCUCAGGGCACCGUGGGGUGUCCAGGUCCCUGGGAUUUUCACACUUGACACUUUUUACAUUUUACAGAACACUAUGCUCUUCUCUGCAUUGAGCUUCUUUCAGACGCUGCGUGGACAGCGUGAUCACCAAACAGACAAUGCUGUGCCUCUCAUUCAGUUUCCGGGGCUCAAGCCAAGAAGCAAGCGGACCCCUCCCCUGCCUCCUUUUCCUCCGAAGAAACCCCAGAGAACUGGAAAUGCACUCCACUCCCCGACCCCUGCCCACCUCAGCUCUUAACCUACAACUGACGUGACUACCGUUCCCCGUUGGCGAAGGGCCUAGACACACGGGACCUUCAAAGAAUUCAAAGUAGAUUCCUCCCCUUAGGAAGCCUGGAAUCGAGGACUGGAGAGACCACCGUCCCAAGCCGUCUCUCCCAGAUGGCUCCUCAGCUUCUGGACAGAUGUGCAAGGUCAUUCUCCCUGCCCCCUAGAGAAGAAAGCAGUCUCCUCCCAGGUCCUCACAGCAGGGUCAGCAGUGUGGCUCCUGUUCACACUCAGCAGGGCAGCAGGUCCCUUUCCGGGAACCAUCUGCCUGGACACUUAGAUGUUUCUUGGUAGGGCCGGCUACUGGACAGUCCUCGGUGGGAACUUUAUAA
Peromyscus leucopus (white-footed mouse) is the source of this 5593-nucleotide long non-coding RNA. RefSeq lists it as uncharacterized. The record is from RefSeq and is a predicted model, not a curated record. The transcript has 4 exons. Lineage: Eukaryota; Metazoa; Chordata; Mammalia; Rodentia; Cricetidae.